GCCCUACUUACCAUAAGGACUCUCCACUGGAGCCCCAAGGGGCGCGUUCACACUGACCAUGGCCAAGUCCACCCAGCCGGAGACCCGGGGGCAUGGAGGAGCAGGGGCCCGCACACAGCAGCAGCAGAGCCACCAGGAGCCAGUCCACCAGGAAGGCGCCCCAUUUCUUUUGUCUCAAUUUUGGAUCUCACCAGCUGUUUGAGGAUUCUGAAAUCGAGGUCAUUUAUCCUGUUAGAGAGAGCUCAAAUGAGAAGCAGUGAAACAAACUCUCUCAGAAAAAUCAGUAACUCCAGCUCCACUAUUUUCUUGCUGUAUGUUUUUUGGUAAAUUAUUUCAUCUCAUUAUAGCGAUACCUAGCUCAUAGUUUGCCCCGCCUCUAAAAUAGCUAAUUGAUAUAUUCCUCCUCUUUCCCCCUAGUCUCUUUUUUCAGCUUAAUCAACCACCCUAGAGGGACCUUCAGCCCCUAUUGAUGGACAUGGGUUGUAUUAAAACGUCCUUUCUUUUGUAAAACAACAGUGAUAAUAAAUGUUAGGUUUUUUUAAUUUAAA
This is a long non-coding RNA of Sapajus apella (tufted capuchin), 548 nucleotides long. RefSeq lists it as uncharacterized. The transcript is spliced from 2 exons. The record is from RefSeq and is a predicted model, not a curated record. NCBI's taxonomy places the organism in Eukaryota, Metazoa, Chordata, Mammalia, Primates, Cebidae.